UACGUAGGGGGCAAGCGUUGUCCGGAUUUAUUGGGCGUAAAGAGCGUGUAGGCGGUUUGGUAGGUCCGCUGUGAAAACUCGAGGCUCAACCUCGAGAUGUCGGCGGAAACCACUUGGCUAGAGUCCGGAAGAGGAGAGUGGAAUUCCCGGUGUAGCGGUGAAAUGCGCAGAUAUCGGGAAGAACACCUAUGGCGAAGGCAGCUCUCUGGGACGGUACUGACGCUGAGACGCGAAAGCGUGGGGAGCGAACAGG
This 253-nucleotide ribosomal RNA is filed under the name uncultured bacterium. RNAcentral describes it as "partial 16S ribosomal RNA". It matches the Rfam family "Bacterial small subunit ribosomal RNA", at positions 524 to 776 of the family's 1533-position model. The record is from RNAcentral.